CCGCAGUUGUGCCAGUGUCAGCUGGGUUAGGGGCUUUCCGCGGAGCCCGGGAAGUGGGAGGAGGAGAACGAGUUGGAAGAGAAGAAAGAAGAGGAGACGUUCACAGAGGUUCACUUGUCCCUGCACCGGGAGCUGUUUAGAGAGAAAAUUGCAGGCCUCACCCACAGCCUUGACAGCGUAGUUUCUUGGAAUCAAGAGUCAACACUGGGCUAUUUCCAAAGAUUAAAUCUUGAAAGCUCGGUGGGAGGCUGUAGCAGGAGGGCAGAGAUGUCCACACACUCAGAUAUGAAAAAUGGUCUUCCACUAGGAAGUCUUCCUCUUCAGCUAAGGCCCUGGAAGUAGUGAAGAGAAAGGGGCCCUUUCUGACCAUGCUCACAGGGAUGGAUUAAACAGGCCCUAUUUUUGCAAGAAAUGGAGCUGCACAGGGUGGCCAGCUCAUCAUCAGCUGCUCAUGUCACCCUGUUGGGGGCUGUCACCUGUAUGUGGGUCAGGCCCAGCCCAGGGCACGCAGAGUGGAAGCUGCAAUGCUGCCCUCCUUCACUCGCCAAGCAGUAUGUAUUGGGUGUCACCAUGGCCACCUAGACUAUCUGACUCCUCCUUCUAAUCUGCACCAAGGUGCCUUGUAUGGGCAAUGCCAGUACUGACUGUCCCACCCUGUUCCCCAUGCCUGUCCAGAGUUACUGUCCUGACUUUGGGUGAAUUAACAAUGCUCAUGAACUAAUUAUGUUUAAUGUAAAAGAUGAGCUAUUUUAUCUCAAUUUUAGAUAAUUUUAUAGAUGAACAUAAAAAUAUUACCAUUUAUGUGAAGUAUGCAUGUAUAUAUAAAAGUGUGUGUAUAUAUAGAUAUAUAGAUAGUUGGAUAUACAUUUUUAUGUAUCAGAAGUUAGGACAACUUUAAAAAAUAAAAGAAGUCAAGAUGAUUUAAAUUUGGUAACUUUAAAAUAAAAAAAGCUGUUCUGCAGUUUGGAAUCAGUUUUAUAUAUGGAUUUCUGGGCUUCACAGAAAUAUGUACUAUUUGAUUCCAUUUCAGCAGAUAGCCAUGAAGUGCCAGUCGCUGUACUAAACAAUAUGUAUAGAGUAAAGAAAAAUGAUGCAAACACCCUGUGUCUACCUAGUAAUCUAGUAAGGCAGGCAAAUGAUAAGGUCCCAAAUAGAUUUGCAGCUGUAAAUUAUGAUGAGAACUAUGAGAGAAAUGCUAAGAUGGAGAAUAACAAAGCAGAUCUAUUUCAGAUUAUGUGACUGGUAAAAUCCUCAAGUGAAACCCGAGGAGUGAGUUGGAAGGAGUUUAUGAAGUGAGUCCAUUCUGCCAUUUAAAGUAUAGAAGCAUUUGAGUUCAGAAUAAAAUUUGAUGUGUUUAAGAGAAAGUAUAAAAUAAAGCCGAUAACAAAGAAAAGAGAGGCCAGUGGCCAAAUCCAUAGUGUUUUAGUUUGUAAACUGCAAGUAACUAAUGAUGUUACAUCUGUGUAUUUGCCAUUUGCUUUUGCAAGUGUCCUUUCUUCUUUCCUCCCUCAUCCUCAUCCAUCUUUGUCUCUUCCUUUAAAUCCUGGCUCAACGCUCAGUCUUUUCUAGGAAUUUUUCUAGUUGGAACACCCCUUCAGCCAUGGUUCUUCAUUUGCUGAGUAUGUGUGUACUAUGUUUAUUUUCCUAUGUGUUUUGUUGAUAACAUCAGCCUUCACUCUCAUAUGUGUGAGUUGAGUAUCCAUGGAAUUGUAAAUGCAGGGGAUCACAAGGGCAGGAAUUACAUUUCCUUCUCUGGUCUGGCUAAGUCUAGUUGAGUCUCACUGUAUGGUGGCCAACCUCUCAAUAAAUGCUGGUACCUGGGUGAUCUUGUUUGACUUGACGUUUUUUAAAGGUUUAAAGAGGAAGAAAUACAUAUAUUAUAAAAACCUUUCAUUGUUAAGCAGAUGGGAACACCCAGUGCACCAUCCCGAAGGGAGUUCAGGAGACCUUCGCACUGCAGUGUGAUACCAUGGAGCUUGAAGGGCAGCCGACAAACUCAAAGAAUAAAUAUACAUCUUUUAAAAAUUAAAGAUUGGUUGUAGUUUUAGCCUACCCACACAUACCAGCUGCUGAUAGGAGUUUAUCCAUAGUUCUUCAGUCUUUCUUUCCAAAGUCAGCACUUGCUGUGUGCCAGAACCUGCUCUGGGUGCUGGGGAUAGAGCGGUGAACAAAACUUCUCUCAUGGAACUAGUUUUCCUGGAGGGGCGAGAGAAUAAGUUGUUACUGAGUGUGGCUGAUAGCAGUUAGUGCUGUCAGAAGAGGAAUCUUAGGGAAAGGUACAGGGGUUGGGAGAAAUACAGUAGUACCUCAGUACUUAUUUAUUCUAGGAAUGCAAUGAGCACCAAAAAUGACAAGAACCAAGCACAUUGUUUUGGCUGGAAAGGGUAAUGAGUCACAUGGCAUAUGACACUGACAAGUUCUAGCUUGCAAGGCAAGUAUCAAUCAAAACUAGGACAGAAAGGGGCCAGGGAUUUAGCUCAGUGGCUCUGGUGCCUCCCUUGCAAGUGUAAGGUCCCAAGUUCGAUCUCUGGUACAAAAAAACCCCAAACAAACUAGGACAGAAGUUUUGUGUCAAAAUGCGUCCAGUACCAAAUUCCAUGAGUCUUAAAGCAAUCAUUUAUAAACAUUGCCAAGAAAGGUGUCUACUGAGUAGACAUUUGGGCAUACAUGAAGCAAGCGAGCAGGCAGAUAUCUGUAAGCACAGGGAGCAGCAAGUCAGGCUAAGAAGAAAGCAUGCUUGGUAUGUUCAAGGAUUAGCAAAGAGACACACAUGGCUGGAACAGGAUGGGUGACCAAGAAAAUGCCAAGAAUGAGGGCAGAGAAGUAGCCAGGGCUCAGAUUGUGUAGGAUCUUGAAAGGUAUACUAUGGACUUGAGCUUUCACUCUGACUGAGAUUGUUUUCAGUUAGGGGUCCUCUGGCUGACCUAUAAACUGUUAACUAUUGUCACAGGGUGAAUUAAAUGGAAGGAAUUGGUUAAAUGGGUAACAAGAAUCACAGGAAGCUGCUCCCAUCCCUAACUUCUGGGGAGCCAGAAAAAUUGAAGAUGGUACAAGCGGAAGCUUCUGGGGAGCCCCUGAGGACCUGUGGAGACACUUGCUGUCCAGUUGCUUCUGGUCCCUGAGGUGCUGAUGUGGAGUUAAUGGUAGGAGGCCUGAGAAAGCUGGGUGCUAGAACCAUGUGAUGUACCUCGAGGGGAAGCAUCCCUUCCUGAGGGUGGCCUAACAAAUACCACAGAACUAGAUGGUUGAAAACAACAGAAAUCCACUGUCUUAUAGGUGUGGAGGUUAAAAAUCUCAAAUUAGGUGAUUUUUUUUUUUUUUUUUUUUUUUUUCCUGAGGGAUAGAAGGGAGACUGUCUGGGCCUUCUAGCUUCUAGUAGCCUCCACCAUUGAUAUGUAGGUAGGGUUCUCUCCACUUCUCCCAUGGAUGUGUCUGCCUUCAUGUGCAAAUUUACCUUGUUGAAAGGACAACAGCCGGAUUAGGAUGCAGCCUAAUGACUUCCUCUUAAUUAGCUGCAAAGCCCCUAUUCCCAAAUAAGGUUAAAUCCACAGAUAUUGGCAAUUAGGACGUCAGCAUCAUCCAUAACACAAGACAAGAGGUUAGAAAGGAACACAUGCUAAGGUAAGGGGAAAAAGCAGGUCACUUCUCUCUUCUUUUUGCCUUCUAGCUUUUUUAUACUAUUUUCUUAAGCUAGGCAUUUCUUUCUUAGUACUGCUUUAGCUAUAUCUCACAGAUUUUGAAAUGUUUUCUCUUCAUUUUCAUUCAGUUGACAUACUUUCUAACUCCCUCUCGAGUUCUUCUUUGACCCAUAGGUUAUUGAGAGCUCUUACUUAGCUUCCAAAUAACUGGGGACUUUUUCUGAACACUUUCUGUCAUUGACUCUAACCCAAUUCCAUUGUAAUUAGGGUGUUGUCUUAGUAUCAACAGAGCUCUGGAGACUGGAGAACCUACCUAAGAUGUGGGGCUGGACUUCCAAAAGAGGCUAUCUUGGUAUUGGCAGGUGACAGUGCCUGCACCUGUAGCCAGCCACAGUACUAUCAGUUUUGAAUACAUUUUCCUUCGAUGGAAUUGGAGGGUGAGCUAAUGGGACCAGAGUGUGUGCAGAAAUAUCACCAAAUCGCAAAAUAAUGGAAAACAGUCUACAUCACGAAUUACCCCAUAAACAGAAUGAUCACAGGCUACCUUAAUCAAGAUAGAGAAUUAAUCCUCAAAGAUACUAAGCUGUGGACAAUUUUGGCAAUUUGACAACCUAGCAAAACACGAAAUGGGCAAGAUAAGUAUAAAACAAAUCUAGUUAGAUCGAAUUAAAAUACAUGAUCAUUUAAACAUUGUCAAGUGAACAUUUAAAGUGUCACCUAGAAAUGUUCUGAAGAAAAUACUAUAUUAUAAAAGUCUUUAUUUUGUAGCUUAAAAUGUGGAUUUGCAAGUAUAUUUGGCUGUUUGGUCUGGAAGAGCACAUAUAUUUCUGAACAUGUGUUCUGACAAACUAAAACAAAAAAAAUUAGCCUUUAAAAUUUUGGACCAAAGAAAUUGUUAAAUUUAUGGCAACACAAUGUCUGAUUUCAUACAAUAUGAUAUAGUUUAAAAUUUAUUUGUAUGAUGUGGUUCAAGAUAAGAAAUUCUGCCUUAUUCUAAAAUUCAUGAAUUGCACAUAAUUCUUUAACUUUCAAAAUGUGUGGUUUACUCAUAAAGAAAUUCUUCAGUUAUUUUGUUGGAAAGAGGUCAAAAUUUUAUGUUCUGCCCAAGGGCAUGAAGUUCUGCAAACACUUUCAUUUAUUAAUGCUUGCAAACACCUGGGAAUUUUGUAGACAUUACAGAUAUUUUUAUGUGGAUAAAUUCAGAAUAAAUGUUGAAUAUAUGGGAAGGCUUUCUAACUUUAAAAUCUAUUUGUGUUUCACAAGACCAGAAAUUCAUUGAGAUUCAAGCUUUUGAUGUUUGGGUUGGUUUACCUUACAUUAUAUGUGGGUUUUUUUCCUAUUUAAAAUAUCAGAAAAAAAUAUAUAUUCAAACAUGACAUAGUUCUCAACGUACAUUUGGAUAGUUAUAAAUUAUCCUAUGUUAGGAUUCCAUAUCCUUUAAGAUGGAAUUUUUAUCUUCUUGUCAAAGGGAUGAAGAAUUACAUUGUGAGUUUUUCCUUUUGAGUAUAAACCAAAAAUAUAUUAAGCCAGACUUUAUUUUUCUUGUAUUUGUGUAAAAUUAUAAGCAUGUUAGGGAAAAUGGUACAAAAACAAGGUAUAUGUUACUCUUAAUACCAGAGCAAAGUUUCUCUACAGUUCUUUUGAUUUUUGUUUUGUUUUUGUUUUUUGGUACUGGGGAUCGAACUCGGGAUCUUUCUACAGUUCUUUUGAGAAAAUCGGUUUAGAGAUCUGAUUCCAUAACAAUUAGCAACUCUUCAAAAGUAUAUUGAUGCCUAUCAUCAUUCAUAAUGAAUGAUGAAAGAUUUUUAAUUUUAUAUUCUAAUUUUUAAAAAGAGCACUGUCAAAAGCGAUGAUUUGAGGAAAAAAAUAGAAAAAUAAUUCUGUCCUAAUUACCAUAUAUGCAUUAUUUAUUGCUUUUAAAAGAUCUCUUAAAAUGAUUAAUAAGCACCUGCAGAAUAAUUUUAUUUUCUUCUUGAAAAAAUAGCCAUCUGAACAUGAGGCCCAGCCCAAAGCCAGCGCUACAGCUGGAGACAUGACAUAGUUCUGAAACAGUCUUUAGUCACAACUGGGAGAAAAAGACCUUUCUAAAAUGUGCCAAUCUUGUGAGGAAUGGAUGUCAAUUUAGUGUCUCCUGGAAAGGGGGAGAAUGAGAUCAUAUUUCUGAAUUUUAGUGUUGCAUUCUGUAAGUUUGUACUCAUGCCUUUUCUCCCUUCUUUACAAUUGGGGUUUUCCACUUCAUUCUUUUGGGACAUAGUGAACUCUCAGUUUCUAUUGUGUUAUUCUACUUACAUGGCUGAUGGCUUCUUUUCUUUGUUCUUGUUUUUCAAUUUCUUCUAAGCACUUUCUCUCUUGAAUCUGUUUAAUCAAUUGUUUUUGUGAAACAAGUUUCUCCAGUGAAAAUCCUGCAGGAAGAACUGUACUUGAGGUUUUACUUUAUCCUAGAUAUAGUGAUGUGUUUUACAGCUAUGAUCUCACUUAAACAUUUGCAGCAACUACAAUGAAAUUUUAUAGAUAAGAAACAGAAACUCAGUGAGAUUAAAAAAACUUCUUAUGGUCAUGUAGCUAGUAAGUCACAGAGCUAUGUAUAAACACAAACAUGUUCAAAGACCAAACUCAAUCUGUUUACUAUGGUGUUUCCAAAGAGCUGGCCUAUGAUGAGUACUUAAUCCUAAACACAGAUGUCUUACUAUUGUUCUCAUGCUCUGAUUAUCAGUCUACUGCUAUAUCUUUCUUUUUUUGUCUCUUAUUAGUGUAUGUCUGUAAUACAUAAUAGUUACGUUCAUUGUGGAGAAUUGGUACAUACAUAUAACAUCUUGAUUGUUUUCAAUCCUUUUAUCUUCUUUUCCCAGAUGCCCCAUCUUCUUUCCUAUUUCCAAAAAAGACUGUCUUCUUGUUUCCUACCACCUUUCCUUUAUCUUAUUUAUUUAUAUUUUAGAUUUCUCAUACAAGAGAAACCAUGUGCUAUUUAACUUUCUGUGUCUUAUUUAAUUUCUUUUUUUUUAAUUCACUCAACAUUAUGGUCUCAACAUCCAUCCAUUUUCCUGCAAAUGACAUGAUUUCACUCUUCUUUAUGGUUAAUAUUCAUAUGUAUCUAUGAAAUACAUUCAUAUGUAUAUAUAUAUAAUUUUCUUUGUCCAUUCAUAUGUUGACAGGCAUCUGGCUGUUUCCAUGGCUUAGCUAUUAUGAAUCAUCAUGCUGUAAACAUGGAUCCUUUGUGUUAUGAAAGCCCCACGUGUGCAUUUCUCUAAAUGAAAGUCUCCUGAACUUAAACCCAUGGACAUUUUAAAGAAAAUGCAGUAAGCCAAUGCUUCCUUGGCUAAAAACGUGUCUGUGCUCUGCAAACAAUGAACAGAACCCAGGAAGGGAGAUGCAGACCGCCUGCUGAGCCAGUCCUAGUUCUCUUCCCUGGAAAUCUUGUCCUUGCACAGAACUUCUGGAAACCAAUAAAAGAAAACUAAUGUGCUACCCAGAGCAGAGAAAAUGGAAAUCUGCUGAGUUAAUAUUGUGGGUCAUAAAAGUCACUCAAAGAGAAUUCUUUCAAUAAGGUGCCUACCAUAGUGGUUAUAUAAUUCUUCCAUGAAACUUACUUUUCUCUUUCUGAAAAGAAGUUUUGUUUUUUCUCUCAAAGAAUAAUGGUACUGCUUAACAUCCCCAGAACACAAUGUGAAUGAGCUUUUAAAAUUUUAUUCUAAUUACAAGAGAAAUAUAUUCUGAGUAUAGAAGAUGAGGAACAUAGAGAAAACCCUGAAGGAAUCAAACAACCCUAUUGUGAGAUAAAACUCAGGUAACAUUUUGGGAUAUUUAACAAUGUCUAUUGCCUUGACGCCAAAAAGUCGGCAUUAUUGUCGAACAUUAUUAUUAUUAAAGUUUGGAUGUAUUUCAUUUGAAUGAUGGCUAUAAAUAAAUUUUAAGCAGAAAGCAAAAAUGACUUUUCUUUUGAUUCCAGGGCCUUCUCAUUAAACUACAUCCUCAAUCCUUUCUUGUUUUCUUAUUUUGAGUCAGAGCCUUGCUAAACUGCCAUGCUGUUUAAAUUGGACUCAAAACAUGCAAUCCUCCUGCCUUACCCUUCCAAAAUAUUGGAAUUACAGGCAUGCAUUGGAAUCACAGGCAUUUAAAUUUUAAAACAGAUACAGCAACACCUGUAAAGAACAGUUGGGCAUUAUGCUCUUGAAAUUUUUGAAAAACUAGAUGCUUAGUUAAUGCUUCCUUUACUUAAAAUAUUUUAGUCUCUGUGUUGGAAUUGCCCUCAAAACUGGUAUAUGAGCCAAAACACAAAAGCAUCUUGUCAUUUUAUAGCCUAAAUGCUUCUUUAAAACCAGUUCUUUUUCUUGUCCUUCCCUACUCCCUCUUUUACAUAUUUGAUUUGUUUUUCAGGUCAUCUUCACCUGGAGAAGCAAAGCAGAGCUAUUUUCAGAUCAGUUGUGAAGAUAGGCUCAGCUUCAGCUAUUUCUACUGAUGGGAAAUGCUAUCUUGCAUAAAUAUUCCAUAAUUAUAUGCUAGUCAUUGUAUCCAGACUGUGCAGUAUGUCUGUUCCUCUCACAUUUGCAGAAGAGCAGCUCAGCAGCUACAAAACUGACAAAUUCAAAAUGUAGUUUUUAGUAACCUAAUGAUGGAGGUAAACUUUUCACCUUCAGCUUUUUCUCCUUUGGAGGUUAGUCAUUUCAAGCACAGAAGUUGCAAGAUUUCUUUGGAAGACUGAAGAUGCAGGGAAGUGCAUCAGCAAGUGUCACUGGCUCAGUCCCAGCUGACAGUGACAGGGAAAGAUGUGAUGUGUAUGGGGUGAAUUAUAGAAUGUCCCUAAUCACGAUGUGCCCUAGUAACCAGUGGAUGUGAUGGUAAGGAACAGGUGAUGAGUUGUAAACUUCUGUCUCCUACUAAUUGUAGAGAUGAGACUGAUAGACACAGGAGACUAGAACACUCUGCAAAAAGAAGCCAUGAGCAUUUGACACUUGUGAUUAUUGCCAUGCUGAAAGUUGCCCAUUCUGGUUCUUUUCUUACAUCUUUGGUUACUUCUAAGUAAAAUUGUAUCACCCGGAUCAGUAAUACUUAUUGAUUUUCCUGAGGAAUGUUCAGUAGUGAAGCUUCUCCCUGCCACGUGCAAAGCGCUGUUACAUGGUCUCCCUGUUCUGUGGUCAGAUGGGAAUGGAGGUAGAAAGAGCUAUGAUUUUAAAUGACAGAAGACUGAAGAUGGAGACUCCCACUUUGUUACUUGCUCUCUCACCCGACAGGAAGGAAACUAUUACUUUUCUUAAGCUUCUUCCUUGGUAAACCAUAUUUACGAAGACUCAGCUUGGUCCUGAAAUGCAGCAGAGACUUGUCAAGCAAAAGUCUAUUCCAGAAGCAGUCACAGCCGAGCUUUACAUCCAUCAUGAGGGCUGCAUCAAAGUAUAAACUCUUCACGAUAUUUUCAAGCGGAUCAAAAUACUUGGAUGAGAAAUGCUGGGAAAUUUUAGAAGGGAAAUGCUACUUGAAGAAUAUUUAAAAUGCUGUUUAUGGAAACAUUUUACAUAUUUGGGGUUAGAAGAAUUUUUUAAAAAAUAAGUUUUAUUGAAGCAUGAUAUGUAUGAAGUCAAAUGCACUCAUGUUAAGCUAUUUAAGCUCAGUGAGUUUUAACAGAUGUAUACAUCUAUACAGCUAUGAUUACAAUCAGAUAUAGACUAUUUCCUUCACUCCCCGAAGUUCCCUUUCCUCCUCACUCCUUUUCUAAUUAAUUAUCUCCCUGUUCUGUGCUCCAGGCAAAACUGGUCUGCUUUCUGUCAUUGUAAAUCAAUGUCUUUUUUAGAACAGUAUAUUUAAGUAAAAUCAAAGAAUACCUGCUCUUUUGCGUCUGACUUUUUUCAUUUAGUAUAAUGUUUUUGAGAUUCACCUGACCUCUGUAUUAUCAAAAGUUAUUGCUGGGUAGUAUUUAAUUAUAUGGAUUUAUGAUAGUUUAUUCACUUGUUGGUGGACUUAGGUUAAUUCAAGUUGUAGCUAUUAUGAAUAGACCUACUCUGAAGAAUCAUACACAAGUCUUUGUGUGGAUGUAUACUUUCAUCCUUUGUGAGUAAAUACUUGAGUGUGAAUAGCUGAGUCAUGUGAUAAAUCCACAUUUGACUUUUUAUGAAACAUUUCCAAAGUAGUUAUAAAUUUUAUUUCCCCAUCAGCAAUAUGAGAGUUCCAGUUGCUCUUCUACCUGUCACUACUUAUUCUCAGUCCUUUCAUUUUAGCUUUUGCAGUGGGAGUAUAGUAUUAUCUCAUUGUGGUUUUAUUUAUUUAUUUUUUUUGGUAGCGGGGAUCAAACUUGAGACCUUGCGCUUGCGAGGCAGGUGGUGGAACCACUGAGCUAAAUCCCCGGCCCCUCAUUGUGGUUUUAAUGCACACUUCUCUGAUUCUUACAGCUAAGCUGACUUCUUUACAUUAAUUCUAUCCUUAUGAUUUGGCUUAUUUCCCUGAUUAUUUGUCAUCGCAUAGAUUAUGAAUGUUUACUUUUGUUGGCUAGUGUAGAUAAUCUUCCAGUUCAACUUUUUAAAAUGUCUCCA
This 10156-nucleotide long non-coding RNA is filed under the name Heterocephalus glaber (naked mole-rat). Its description in RNAcentral is "lncRNA (ENSHGLG00000050934.1)". The record is from RNAcentral. Lineage: Eukaryota; Metazoa; Chordata; Mammalia; Rodentia; Bathyergidae.